GAUGAAGAACGUAGCGAAAUGCGAUAAGUAAUGUGAAUUGCAGAAUUCAGUGAAUCAUCGAAUCUUUGAACGCAUCUUGCGCUCCUGGUAUUCUGAGGAGCAUGCCUGUUUGAGUGUCAUUAAAUUCUCAACUACACUGACUUUGAAUUGGUGUGGCUUGGAUUUGGGGGGAAAAUUGUUGUGGGCUUUUUGUAUAGUCUGCUCCCCUGAAAUUGAUUAGCGGUACCUUUGUGGAACUGUCUACAGGUGUGAUAAUUAUCUACAUCUUAGACAUCUGCUGGAAUGCUGCUUUCUAAACCUUACUUGUAUUGACAAUCUUGACCUCAAAUCAGGUAGGACUACCCGCUGAACUUAAGCAUAUCAAUAAGCGGAGGA
This 375-nucleotide unclassified non-coding RNA is filed under the name soil metagenome. RNAcentral describes it as "partial contains 5.8S ribosomal RNA, internal transcribed spacer 2, and large subunit ribosomal RNA". The stretch from base 1 to 119 matches the Rfam family "5.8S ribosomal RNA", at positions 35 to 154 of the family's 154-position model. The record is from RNAcentral.